UGUCUUGUGUACCAUCUUAGCUACUUUUCCCAGGAAAUAUUAUGAAAGAGGUACUAAUUUCUGGAGGAGAAUUUGGUUAUUCUAGUUGUGUUUUAGUAAAGGGCAUAAAGUCUGAAGUCAGAUCAUUGGUAGUGUUUCUUAGUGUGGAUCUGUCCCAACUUUGGGGGUUUUUGUUUAUUUGUUUUUGUUUUUUUUUAAUUAAUUUACUUUUUACACUCCACAUUCCAUCCCCCACCCUCCAUCCACCCCGACUGCUCCACAUCCCAAAUUGCUCCCUACCCCACCCCGUCUCCACAUGGAUGCCACCACCCCCCACCCCACCUGACCUCUAAACUCCCUGCAGCCUCCAGUCUCCUGAGGGUUAGGUGCAUCAUCUGUGAAUGAACACAGAACUGGAAGUCCUCUACUGUAUGUGUGUUAGGGGCCUCAUAUCAGCUGGUGUAUGCUGUCUGUUUGGUGGUCCAGUGUUUGAGAGAUCUCAGGGGUCCAGAUUAAUUGAAACUGCUGGUCCUCCUACUGGAUCACCUUCCUCCUCAGCUUCUUUCAGCCUUGCCUAAUUCAACAACAGGGGUCGGCUGCUUCUUUCCAUUGGUUGGGUGCAAAUAUCUGCCUGUGCUACCUGAGAGAGGUGCACAGCACUUGAGUCCCUCAGGCAGUGGGAACAGAGUCACAGUCCCUCAGGAGUCGCAGCAGAGUUGUGGGAUAUGACCUGUGAGAAAAGGUCCUAUGAUUUCCAGGUCCUCUUUGGGUGAGGGUGGAGUCCCUGCAGGGGUGAGAUGUCUUUUCUUGGAGGUGGUGCACAGAACCUGUAUCCUCAGCAUCAGGAAUGGGGGAUGAUAUUUAGGGGACAGCUCAGAAAGCAUGGUAUUCUGGCGCUGGAAGUAGGGGCACAGUGAGGUUGGGGACCCUGCGUGAGGACUUAUUCAGGACACCUUCUCCUCAGGCUUUGGGGGUCAGAAUCUCCAAUUGUAAAAGUCAGGUGACAGACAAGCACACUGGGAUGAGCAAGAGGAAACAAGAGUUCCUACAGUGUGAUGAGAAAAACUGUUCUGAGAUAAAAAGGUAUGGAAAUUGUGUCAAGUACUUAGUAAGUAAGACUAAUUAUCUAGAAUCGAAUUCUACAACAGGAUCACAUUCUUUGCAUUCAUAUGGCCAGUGAUGUCCGUUGAAGAAAUUAAAACUUUUUUUUAUUAUCAUUGACUUGUGGAGAACUGUUCUCUUGUGAGUAAACUAUAACGUGCGUAUCUUUAUAUACUAUGAUUUUGCCUGCACAUAAGGGCAGAGGGAUUAUACUUCUCCCUUUGUCGUUAUCCUGGACUCCUUUUAUUUUUUGCCCCCUUCACCUAUGUGAGAUCAAGCUCUUACCACUAAAAGAAUGAACAUUCCUGCCUCAGCUAGUGUCUAAAUAAAAAACUGUUCUAUGGUUAGAUGCUCAUACUUUGCUUCCCAUAGGCCCUAUGAGGGACAGACGGAAUCAGGGCUCAUCAGGAAGAUUCCUGGGAACAAAUCACUUUCUU
Molecule: long non-coding RNA, 1517 nt
Filed under: Mus musculus (house mouse)
Lineage: Eukaryota; Metazoa; Chordata; Mammalia; Rodentia; Muridae
Description: long non-coding RNA chr5:20478583-20480100
Source: RNAcentral